CCGCCGUAAACUAUGCUCGCUAGGUGUCAGGCAUGGCGCGACCGUGUCUGGUGCCGCAGGGAAGCCGUGAAGCGAGCCACCUGGGAAGUACGGCCGCAAGGCUGAAACUUAAAGGAAUUGGCGGGGGAGCACAACAACGGGUGGAGCCUGCGGUUUAAUUGGACUCAACGCCGGACAACUCACCGGGGGACGACAGCAAUAUGUAGGCCAGGCUGAAGACCUUGCCUGAAUCGCUGAGAGGAGGUGCAUGGCGUAGACGUCU
This 262-nucleotide ribosomal RNA is filed under the name uncultured archaeon. RNAcentral describes it as "partial 16S ribosomal RNA". It matches the Rfam family "Archaeal small subunit ribosomal RNA", at positions 748 to 1009 of the family's 1478-position model. The record is from RNAcentral.